GAUCAUUCCAGUGGCCCAAUGGUUAGAGCGUCCGCCUCGGAUGCGGAAGGUCGCGGGUUCGAACCCUGGUUGAGUCU
This is a non-coding RNA of Potamilus streckersoni, 77 nucleotides long. NCBI's taxonomy places the organism in Eukaryota, Metazoa, Mollusca, Bivalvia, Unionida, Unionidae. The record is from the annotation of a GenBank genome assembly.